AUGGAUCAGAAGACAAAGAAACCGCAAGGGGAAAGCCUUCAGGGUUCCGACAGGAGAUUGCGGUGGACACUUGGAGAGAGCACUCAGGGAUGCUGGCAAGGAAGGGAAGAAAGUGUAUUCCAGCCAUGCAAGGGGAUGGAAUUCAACUCCGAGCAGGAGGCAUAUCAAUUCUACAACGCUUAUUCAUGGGAGAUCGGUUUUGGAAUCAGGCAUGGCAACAAGUACAUAAAUAAGCAUGGAUACAAGUCCAAGCAAGACCUUCUAUGCUCCUGCGAGGGUUCUUGCAAAAAAUCAGACACAAAGUCAUCUCGAACCAACUGCCCCGCCAUGGUUAGACUGAACAGAACUGACGACGACAGAUGGUAUUAUGCCAACGUGGUACUAGAGCACAACCACAGAAUGGCUGAUACUGUUGGUGAAAGGAAGACAUUGAAGUGUCACAAGUACGUGGACUCAUCUAUCAAGGAGAUUGUUAGGCACUUGCGUGCUAACAAUGUGUCUCUUACUAAGGUCUAUGGAGUGAUGGCUGAUAUUCAUGGUUCCUACGAAGACGUGCCAUUCCGCAAAAGGUCUCUGAAGUCAAUGUGUUCAUCAAUUGCUCAUGAACACAGUCAAGAUGACAUUAGCAAGACCCUAGCCCUUUUUUCAAGGAUGCAAGCAGAGAACUCUGGAUUCUUUUUUGCAGUCAAAACUGACGAAGAAAGAAGGGUUUCUGGUUUGUUUAGGUGUCACCAAAAGAGUAGGGAGGAUUACAGUUGUUUCGGCGAUGCAGUAAUGUUUGACACAACCUAUAAGAGCAACUUGUCCUUUUCGAAAAAUAAGAGCAACUUGUACGAGAUGCCGGUUGGUAUGUUCGUCGGCGUCAACAACCACUACCAAUGCUGCAUUUUUGGUUGUGUUUUUCUCCGUGAAGAGACUGUAGAUUCUUUCAAGUGGGCUUUUGAAACUUUCCUAUCUGCAAUGGACAACAAACAGCCUUUGACUAUAUUGACAGACCAAAGCAGGCAAAUGGAGUGUGCUAUCUCUGCCGUCAUGGAUUCUUCGACACACGUCUGGUGUAAAUGGCAUGUGUUGAAGAAGAUGAGGGAGAAAAUUGGUAGUAUGUAUAGGAAUGGUACACCUUUUCGCAAUGACUUCAACAUGCUCAUCAAUGAGAUGAUGACAGAACAGGAGUUUGAAAAGGAGUGGGAGGAAAUAACUCUGCAUUACGGGCUUGAAACAAACUCAUUCAUGAAACAAGUGUAUGAAGUCAGACACAAAUGGGCGAAGCCGUAUCUGAAGGGGAAUUUCUGCGCUAAAAUGUGCAGCACCCAGCGAAGUGAGUGCAUGAAGAAUGUCCUGAAAUCAUAUGUUUCUCGGUCUGCACCAAUCAAUUGCUUUUGGAGGGAUUCGAUCUCUCGGGAGGAGGUCAUCGCUUUUGGAGGGAUUCAAGAUCCGGUGUCCAAGGGGCGCCGGAUGAGUGGACGACUCCAAAGCCAGCCUGACGUGGACGAUAUUCAGCAGCGGUGCGCCAUGAGGGCGGCCAAGCUUCGUGACGUCGAGGUCACUACUGGUUUUAUUCCGUGCUACGGCGCUGAUCCGUAUGUGGUCCUUACUCACUCCGACGGAGGCCAGGGAGCGUUUGGUUACUGGAUCAGCCUGGUGGGAGAUGGUAGCGCGGGAUAUCUUCAACCGGUUUGGAUGGCGGUCAUAUAA
This 1695-nucleotide ribosomal RNA is filed under the name Triticum aestivum (bread wheat). RNAcentral describes it as "partial small subunit ribosomal RNA". Lineage: Eukaryota; Viridiplantae; Streptophyta; Magnoliopsida; Poales; Poaceae. The record is from RNAcentral.